CGCCGAAGGGCGCCGGGCGGUGGUGUCUCCACCAGCGGGUCGUGGCGGGGGCCAAAACCGUGUCCUCACGUCCACACGUCUGGCCGCCCUUCCCCCGGGCGCUCGCUCGUGGGUUCGACCGUUGCACGUUCCUUGAGCUUCUGUGGCGUUCGGCCUGGAGGAGCUGGGCUGGCCUCCCCUGCACGCAGCCCGAGUCUUGUCUGUCAAAUGAAGAUGAUGUGGACUCAGAGCCUGGCGUGGUCACCCACAGCUGUGUGAUCUUGGACAAGUUACUCACACUCUCUGUUCAUCAGUGUCCUCGUCCGUGAAAGGGAAGUACAGUGAAUGUAAAGUGCUCAGGACAGCAAAGUGCGACCCAGUAUGUGCUUGUGAGGGGAUGGGCAGGUAGAUCCGGUCCCUGCCUGGCCACUCCUUUGGGGAAGCUUGUGUCUUUUAUGACAAAGACAGUGCUCUGUCCUGGCCUCCUUGAGCCUGGAAAUUAAGGCAACUGCCAGGGAGGGCCCAGCGUGGACUUUGGAGUCUCCUAGCCACAUUUCCUAGUAGGCAUUAUCAUGCUGUGUUAAAGUGGAGGUGGGAACCCCAAGAACAGAGGAGGCUGGAAAUGCUGUGAGUGCAUGGCAGACUCGCCCCUCUCUGCACCCUAGGGCACAAGGUGCAUCCUCUUGGCUCCGGCCUGUCAGCACCCUGGGGCGUUAUUUCUGGACUCCUUGCGUUCUGAGAGAGAGGUUCCUACGCCUGGGAUUCUGCCGUCUGCUAUGCUCUGUGGGCAGACAGGCCCCUUCUGGCAGACUGGGCUGGGCUUUUGUGGACAGGGACAGCUCUGGGCAGUGGCUUCCCUAGAGGCCUGUCCAUCUGUUCACCUGAUUGCCCUGACUCGUCUGUUUUCUUGUAAUAAGGCUGGGUGGCUCACUCAGCCUCCUGCAAAGGCCUGUGGGCACAGGAGAGGCUUUUUCGAAACUGUGGUUUCCACCCUUGGGAUAAUUUACAUACCACCCAGUUGGAGAAUAAUGGUGGGGCAGGAAGAGAGAGGUCACAUUCUCCAUCCCUAAAGGGCAUAGUUUUCUGGUUCCUGUCACUGGCAGUGGGACACACAGUCACAGAUGCCCUGCUUCCCCCUGACUCCCAUGCCCCGGCACCGGGGUGGCGGGCCCACCAGGGUCCCAUGUGGAUGCAUGGGGACUAUCAGCUCUUUUCUAGGUUUCCAGAAGCCUCGAAAUAUUGUGCAUUUUCCUCCGAUAAGGCCAGAAAGCCUGACUCAAACAUAAAAUGACAACUCAGCUGUACUGAGUUGACUUGUGUCCCCCCCCCCCCAAAAGAUAUGUCCGUGUUCUAACUCCUGGUGCUUGUAUGAUUUUAUCUGGAAACAGGGUCACUGCAAAUGUGAUCAGGUGGAGAGGAAGUCAUCCUAGAUUAUGGAGGGGCCCCAAUCCAAUGACAGUGUAUCUUCAUAAGAAGAGAGAAUUUGGAUACGUCGACUAGGAGAUAGACACAGGGGAAAACAACAUAAUGAAGACGGAUGCAGAGAUGGAGGUGAUGUGUCUACAGCCAAGGAACCUGAGGGUCACCAGAGCCACCAGCAGCCGGGAGAGAGGGGUGGAUUAGAGUCUCCCUCAGAGCCUCAGAAGGGAUCGACCCUGCGGACCGCUUGAGCUGAGACUUGGAUUUCCAGAACUGAGAGAUGGUAACCGCCUGUUGUUCAGGCUGUCGGGUUUGUGGUGCUGUGUUACAGCAGCCGCAAGAAACCCAUACAUCGGGCCAUUCAGAGCUUCUGCCGGGCAGGCGUUCUCUGCCUCUGAUUGGCACGCAACGGCAAGGGAGGUCAUCACUGAUUAAUGCUUGCAACACAGUGUGAUCUGUGAAACCUUUUCCUAAGGUGGUGGGGGGCCGUCCCUGGAGAAAGAAUACUAAAGGGGCCCAGGGUGGAGAAAAGGAGGGACCCAUAACAUACGGUCCUGGAAAAGCACUGCCAGAGCCCCAAACUUACUGCUCCUGGGGGCCUGGGUAUUGGAGAGAAAAUCCCCCUGGUACUGAAGGUACUUUCUUGCGGCCUGGGGGGGAGGGUGCGCAGGAAGGAUCCAGGGGCUCUGGAGUCUGACACUUGCUCCUGUCCCUGAUACGUAAACUGGGGUUCCUGCUGCCCAGUCUCUAGAAAGGCAAGGGGUAAAGGGAGAACACUGGGUAGAGGGGGAGGGGCACAAGGAAGCCCUGUCCCCACCCCACCCUCUGGGUGACUGGUGGCACUGGCUGGACCUAUGGUGGUUUUUCCUGUCCUGAAUGACUGUGGCCAGACUCUGGCCCCACUCUACAGAUGCAGAAACUGAGGCCCAGCUCUCACCAUUGCUCUGGAGGCAUGGGAAUCACCACAGAACCAGGGAGCCAAGAUUCAGCCUUGUACUGUUGGCCACAGACCGAAUGGCCUGAAAUAGGGCACUAGUGGUCCAAGAAAAGAGGACUCAGUUGGCUGUGCUGGCCCCUGACCAGGGCGCCCAGGAACACACUCCAGUGACUCAGCGGUGACUCAGGACGAGGCAGCAGAUGCGGAAACCGCUAGUCCUCUGCCAGCUAGGGAAGCAGCCCCGGGUGGUGAUAAGCAGCUGGGGCAUCCGAGCCCCUCUAUCCGGGAGGACCCAGAGCCGGGAACCCAGAAGGCCUCCGCACAGCCGUUCUGUGAAGGCAGGAAGGACAGCCUGGCGGUCCCCAGCUGGGCAGCCCUGAGCCAGAGCCCCCGGAGCAACCCGCCCCACCAGGUGCCCACAACACAGAGGGGGUGGGAGGGGGUGCUUCAAGGCUCAGAAAUGAGGACACUUGUUCCUAAUCCACACAGUCAGACGGCAGACAUAUGGGCCUCGGUUUCCUGUAUGUGAAAUGGGGCUAAAACCAGCCCCACGACCUGGGGAGGUUGCGUGGUGGAGACCACGCGUGGAAAGCGCAGCGUGAGUCCAUCUUCUGUGCGCGCUCCGUCCACGCUCCGCCCCUGCUCCACGCUCCGCCCCUACGCCGGGCACGCUCCGUUCACGCUCCGCCCCCGCUCCACACUCCGCCCCCGCGCCGGGCGCGCUCCGUUCACGCUGUGUGCGUGGAAGCCAUUGUCGGGCUUACCCACGACUCCUCCGCCUCGAAGGCCGGAUUUUUUUUCUAUCCUGUGUUUCUGAGUCGGGUUUUGCACGCGGUCUCCGAUGCUCUGUGAGCCUCAGCCUCUCACGGUGAGAAGUCUGUGAGAUGACGGGACGCAGUCGCACCGACAGCCAGGGGGCGGGAACCGCCCGAGGGUCCUUCCGUGGCUGAACGACAGGUGGCACGGCCACGCCAGGGGCGUUAGCCAGCCGCGGAAAGGAACGCAGCACCGGCUCACGCUGCCACGUGGAUGGACGUCGAAAACGUGACACCGAGUGACGGAAGCCAGACACAAAGGGCCACAUCUCAUGUGCUACCGUUUAUUAGACCCACAAAAGUACUUCGCCCGCUUGCCGGGUGGAGAUCAGAGCACGCGGUGCCAGAGAAGGCGGUGGCGGGAGAGGAACGGGGUGCCGUCAGCGCGGCUCCAGACGAGGCGGGUGUUCCCAGCUCACGGCCGGAGGCCAGGAAGCGGCUGCCGAGACCGCGUCUUUGCAGGGCCCCCGGCUGGCCCGUGCCGGGCAGAAGCGUCUGUCCGUCUGACACCAAAAACCGCGCCGCCGGCCCUUCCCGGAGACGAGAUCAUUCAGGAUUCCCUGAACAAGCAACCAAACAGGCGACCAGACCAACGGAAGAGGAGCACCGACCAGGCCGCUGAGGUGUGUGUGGAGCACGGAGCUCUUUGCUAACAAGGUAAAAUACUCUCCAGUCGUAACUGUAGUUCCCACGUCCUCUAGGACACGCUCCGUCCUCCAAACCCCGAGCUUCCCUGCAGGGCCGUCGCCGCGUGAGGGGCAGGCCCGGGGCCUACGGCGGGGAGGCUGCCUUCCUCGGGGCCACAGCCGGGGCCACCACGAUCUCGUCGGAGUCGUCAGAGCUGCCGUCGUCUGCGGGUCCCAGUCCUGAGGGAGAGGACGGCCCUGCAAGGAACCAGAGCGGGGUUGUCACCGCAGCUGCUCGGGGCCAGGGCGCGCCCCGGCCGCCAGUCUCGGACACUUGGCACAGCGCCUGCUCCCUGCCGGGCGGGAACGACCUUCGGCGUCAGCGUCACCCGGCCACAAACCACCUCAGCCUCCGAGCUCAGCUCUGGACACCCAGGCCGUUGCCAAAAGGCAAACACCCGCAAAAGGUGAGGCUGGCCGACAGCGAGCAAGCUGGAGCGCGACUGGGGGUCUCUGAGGGCCGCCCCCACCGCGGCGCCCCGAGCCCGCGGCCUGGGCGGGAGCUGCGACCCAGCGCUGGCGAGGCUGGUGGCCAGCCGCGUGUGUAAGAGCCCGCUUCCUGGUGGCACGUCCACCUGGGGAGACGGGCACGCGGCGCCCGGUGGCCCCUCCCCCACACUCUUCACGCACAGCCGCCUUCCAGAAUCCCGUCUCUGCUGGAAGGGGGCGCCCGCUGCAGACAGCCUGCACCCCGAGGGGCCUGAGGAGGGGCCAGAAGCGGGCGAGGGAUGGGAGGGAGGCCCGCACUCUGCCUGGUGAGGGGCAAGGGGAUGGCCGGUCGCCGGUCGGGGGGAAAGCGGGAAGGAAGCCAGGCUCGGCCGCACCGAGGCGUGUGACUGCACAGCUGGCCUCUGGCGCUUUCCAGAGAAUAUCUGAGAGGAGAGCCUCAGGACGCUCAAACAUCCGUUUCCAAGGUUAUCUUCAAAAACACGGUCACGAUCGGACCAAAUGGGGCCACACGGCCCUGCCGGGAACUGAGGGCGGUGUGUGCGGUAACGCCCCUUGGCAGGAGACGACACCGUCCGCAGGAGGAGGGGCCUCGGGGGGGCCGGGAGUCCUCGAUGGCCCGCCCGGCUCCGCGUCUUCCGGGGCAUCCCGGUGCUGCUGCCCUUGGCUCUUGACACGCGGGGCCUGUGGGGCACCAGAGUUCGACGUCCGCGAGCCCCGACAGCCCGGGCUGAGCGACUGCAAGGGACGCAGCCCGCACUCCCAUGUGGUGACUUCCCGGGCGGACACGGUGGCAAGCCCUUGGCUCCUCAGGACAUUCUCUGAGACCCAGCCCCCCGAAGGCCGCAUCGCCCCCACUCACCGCAGCGGGGCUGCAGGGCUGCUGGAUUCCCCGGAGCCUCGUCCUCGGCCGCCGGCCCCUCCGCGGUCUCCCCGCCGCUCGCCUCACUGUCCUCUUGACCUGAAAUGACACGCAGACCAGAAGUGCCGGCCCUGCACGCGGCCGGCGUGGGACAUGGGCAGGACUCGUCCCCUCCCCCCGUCUUUCCACCCCAGCACCCGGGUUUUGGCUUCCUUUGCUGAGGUUUCCUGACACGAAGCCCCGCUCCCCGCCUGUCCUCAGACUCCAUCUUUGUGACCUACGAGCUCAGGACAGAAAAGUCGCUGGAAACGUUCCCACGUGAGCGCCACGUGGUGACCGCCUACCGCCCUCACUAACAGGACCUCAAGACUGCGUUUCUUGGUCCAGUGACCGUCCCAAACCUCCCAGCACCGCCUUCUUGCUCAUCGGCAGCAUCACAGUACGAGCGCGAGCAAGUCACAGCAGAGGAAGGGGGAGGGGAGGCCGGAAUCGCGGGGCCCGAAAGCAACGUCCAGGCUCUCGCCGGGCGUCCGCCUCACACGCGAGGAGACGGGCCCUGCCCGGGACCCCACGUCCGCCGCCGGGCAGGGCUGACCGGGCCUCACUGCUGGGGUGCGGCGCCCCUGUCAGUCCCAGGGAUCUCUGCACUGUCUGGGGGCCUUGAUGAGGCCGAAAAGCAGAUACACGCAAAGCUUUACUUAAAACCAACAAACAGGAAAAGCAUUGGUCCAAAGGAGGGAAACCACCAGCUCCGGUUAGAGCCAAGGAUAAAAACCAAAGACACACGAGCCACGAAGCUCCAACUCUGUGGCCCGCAGGUGCCCAGAAGCCGCCGUCACUGACCCCGGGGCCGCCUCCAGAGGUCCAGGAUCUCCCUGAUGCAGCCUCCCUGCUGGUAGGCGGUCACAGUGGACAAGCCCCCACACGUGCCCACACACCCCACGCUUCCGGGCAGUGGCAGCUCUUUGCUGGAAGCUCAGAGGGCCGGGGAAAUCGAAACUGAAGUGACGUUACCAGGAGAAGGGGCCGGGCAGGGUGGCGAGCAGAGCUGGCUGUGUGUGGCCGGAGCGGGCUGCCUCCUUCUGGGGGCUGCGGCGACGGCUCUCUGACCGGCGGCGCUGCAAGAGAGAGGCCAGCCGCUUGGACUUCACAGAACGCCCCGUGGGCUGAGGCCCACGGCGGGGCUCACGGAUGCGCGGGAGGCCGGCAGGGCUGGUGCACGGCCGGGGUCAGGGCCAGACGCCUUCCUUUCCCACCGUCUCCCGUGCCUUUCCGUCCCAGCGGACACGGUCACCGGCCGUGAUGGCCGCGCCGGGAUGGACCCUGACCUGCGUGGAGCCCCUGGCCGUCCCCGUUCACGGGGAACCAGAACCAUGAGAUUCGGGCUCCACCUGGCUCUCCUGUGGCAGAGAGGAACCAAAACCGACACCGGAGAGGAAGGGCAGAGUGAGGAGGGGCAGGGAGCCUGAGCCCUGCAGCAGAACAGCCCCAGCCCCCUCCUGAGGGACACUCCCCCGCCUCGGUGCAGAACCCCCCCCCCCCUCGCCCCACAACAGCUAGGGGGGGCUGUGACUUUCUGCAGCCGGUGCCCCCGCGGGUCUGGCGCCACAGUGCCACUGAGAAGGAGAGAAGGAGCGCUGCCCUGGGAGGGUUCUGACGACGCCCGCGCCUUCCUGAAUGCUGGGGUCACGUCACAUUUUCUUCUAACAAGGACGAUGCGUUAGGACGAGCCGACCAGCCUACAAAGUGGCAGGCAGGAGGAACUCCUCACUGGGUGUUUCUGUUCGGGUGACAAACCAAGGUCCCAGCUCCUACACCCUGUGCCCGGGCACCACGGGCCGGCCACCUGGACGGGCAGCUCCUCGCACUGUGUCUGCGGCCGGCGUUUCCCAGGGAUACAGAACAGAGUUGGGCCCGCCGGUUGGACUUACCUGCGCCUGACCCGUGCCAGGUGCGCCCGGAGGACGGACUGGAUGGCGGUGAUGGCCUCCUCCUGUCCCGGGCUGCCCUGGGCCUGGACGGUGGGGCUUGGAACACGUGGUGACGGAGGGUCCUGCGGCAAAAUGACAGUGAGCGUGCCAAGGGGCCCCGCCUGGCCCUCAGAGAGCCAGAGUAGGAAGACGCUCAUCUUUACCGUGUUAAGAUUAUACCUUAAUCGUGAGAUGGACGUGUACCUAGUACGUAAGCACCAGACGUUACAUCCACCUGGAGCCUGCCUGGCCCGAUGCGCCCCGCGACGGACGACAGUAAGGUGCAAGCUCGGCCGCACCGCACCUGCCUGGAGAGGCGAGGACGCCCGGGCCUGGGGCGGCACCGAAGACCGCAGCGGAGCACGACGGCACGGGCCGGCCGGCUGGUAGACGCGCUCCAGGGUCCCUGGAGGAGUCCCAAGCUCACCCAUUCACCCACUCAGUGCACAGAUUUGCCGAAUGCCUACCAUAUGGCAGGCCGCGUCCUGGGAACUAUGGACAUAGUGGCCCAAAGGCAGAGUCAGUCUUUGCCUCCACGGAACCUCCACUGCAAUGUGAGACAAGCAGUCUGCAAAGAAGUGAGCUAUCAAAAUAUCAAACAGGGAUAAAAGCCACAAGGAGAACUAAAGCAGGACACGAGGCCGGAGUGAUGGCUGGCACGGGGUAUUCAGAGAGGGUGUCAUUGAGGAGGUAAUGUUUCGGUACGGACCUGUGUAAAGCAAGGGGGCAAAACGUGCAAGUAUCUGGAGGAAGAGCCUUCUAGGCAGAGGGGCAGCAAGUGCAAAGGCCCUGUGGCAGGAAUAUGCUGGUGUUUUCGAGGAGUGUUAAAGAAGCCUCCAGACUGGCUAGAGAAGAAUGAGCAGGGCUGGAGGGGUCGCCAGGACGUGUGGCACGGAGGGUGUUCAGGCAACAGCUUUGGAAUUUGCUCCAAGUUGAGGGCAGGUCUUACGCAGCGGUGGGUGUUAUUUAACACGUAAGACGUGUCACCCCGGAGGCUGCGUGGGGAACAGGCUGGUGGGGAAGGCGACAGCAGCAGCAAGGGGCCCUGCGGGUCUCAGACUCCGUCAGUCCCGGCACCUCCCAGCCCGCGUCCAGCCGCUCACACACACCUGCUCUCCCCCCGGGCAGGCUGUGCUCCUGCGCACACCCGUCUUCUGCCUGGAGCCCUUCCUCUCAGCCUGGGAGCCCCCACAUUCCCCAGACCCCACGGCACACCUGGACACGAGCCCUAAACCACACCUGCCACCUUGACCUGCGACGACCCAUCUGCUGUUUGAGUCAACAUCUUUUUUGAGUCCCGAGGGCCCGCCGGGUUGCCUGACUCCGAACUGAUGACCGAGAAAAGUGUGUCGGAAGAAGGAAUGAUUGAAUGAAUGAAUGAAUGAAUGAAUUUGAAGGUGUGAAGCUACCCAAAUAUUCAUUCGAUGUUGAUAUCACUUGGGGCCGGUCUGAUUUCACGAAACCAAGUGCCCGUGACGCUUCCUGAGACAUCCCACUGGGACUUUGCUCCGGUGCAGAAAUACAUAUUUUGAAACGGAUGAAAUAAACUUUGCUUACCUCGUCCAGGACAGCCUUUUUUUUCUGGAAUAAAGAGAUAAAUCAUGAAUUAACACAA
This is a long non-coding RNA of Lynx canadensis (Canada lynx), 8730 nucleotides long. RefSeq lists it as uncharacterized. The transcript has 5 exons. The record is from RefSeq and is a predicted model, not a curated record. NCBI's taxonomy places the organism in Eukaryota, Metazoa, Chordata, Mammalia, Carnivora, Felidae.